RNAcentral lists this microRNA (22 nucleotides) under Danio rerio (zebrafish). RNAcentral's name for it is "Dre-Mir-208-P1_5p* (star (passenger))". Lineage: Eukaryota; Metazoa; Chordata; Actinopteri; Cypriniformes; Danionidae. The record is from RNAcentral.
AAGCUUUUUGUUUGUGUUAUGU